RNAcentral lists this ribosomal RNA (254 nucleotides) under uncultured bacterium. RNAcentral's name for it is "partial 16S ribosomal RNA". It matches the Rfam family "Bacterial small subunit ribosomal RNA", at positions 524 to 776 of the family's 1533-position model. The record is from RNAcentral.
UACGUAGGGGGCGAGCGUUGUCCGGAAUUAUUGGGCGUAAAGAGCUCGUAGGCGGUUCGGUAAGUCGGGUGUGAAAACUUUGGGCUCAACCCAAAGCCUGCACCCGAUACUGCUGUGACUUGAGUCCGGUAGGGGAGUGGGGAAUUCCUGGUGUAGCGGUGGAAUGCGCAGAUAUCAGGAGGAACACCGGUGGCGAAGGCGGGUCUCUGGGCCGAUACUGACGCUGAGGAGCGAAAGCAUGGGUAGCGAACAGG